Molecule: non-coding RNA, 46 nt
Organism: Schistosoma haematobium
Lineage: Eukaryota; Metazoa; Platyhelminthes; Trematoda; Strigeidida; Schistosomatidae
Source: Rfam
GCACCGCUGAGGAGUCCCAUACUAGGACGAAACGAUCUUCCAGUAU